RNAcentral lists this long non-coding RNA (222 nucleotides) under Mytilus galloprovincialis (Mediterranean mussel). The record is from RNAcentral. Lineage: Eukaryota; Metazoa; Mollusca; Bivalvia; Mytilida; Mytilidae.
AAAAAAUAGGCAGGACAGGAGUUUUUAGUAAAAAAAAAAGGCAGGAUGUGACACUUGCAAAAAAAAAAAAAAAAAGUCAGAGACGACAAUUUAGGUAAAAAAAGUCAGGAUAAACUAAAAAAAAAAGAAGGGCAGGACCGAUUAGAGUGAAAAAUAAAAAGGCAGGACAGAGAUUACAGCUAAAAAAAAUGCAGGACAAAAUUUUUCAUCCUAGCCCCCCCA